GGAUGACCGCUGGCGGCGUGCCUACUACAUGCAAGUCGAGCGAACGGACGAGAAGCUUGCUUCUCUGAUGUUAGCGGCGGACGGGUGAGUAACACGUGGAUAACCUACCUAUAAGACUGGGAUAACUUCGGGAAACCGUAGCUAAUACCGGAUAAUAUUUUGAACCGCAUGGUUCAAAAGUGGAAGACGGUCUUGCUGUCACUUAUAGAUGGAUCCGCGCUGCAUUAGCUAGUUGGUAAGGUAACGGCUUACCAAGGCAACGAUGCAUAGCCGACCUGAGAGGGUGAUCGGCCACACUGGAACUGAGACACGGUCCAGACUCCUACGGGAGGCAGCAGUAGGGAAUCUUCCGCAAUGGGCGAAAGCCUGACGGAGCAACGCCGCGUGAGUGAUGAAGGUCUUCGGAUCGUAAAACUCUGUUAUUAGGGAAGAACAUAUGUGUAAGUAACUGUGCACAUCUUGACGGUACCUAAUCAGAAAGCCACGGCUAACUACGUG
Molecule: ribosomal RNA, 498 nt
Filed under: uncultured bacterium
Lineage: Bacteria
Description: partial 16S ribosomal RNA
Rfam family: Bacterial small subunit ribosomal RNA
Source: RNAcentral